RNAcentral lists this ribosomal RNA (408 nucleotides) under uncultured bacterium. RNAcentral describes it as "partial 16S ribosomal RNA". It matches the Rfam family "Bacterial small subunit ribosomal RNA", at positions 338 to 743 of the family's 1533-position model. The record is from RNAcentral.
CCUACGGGAGGCAGCAGUGAGGAAUAUUGGUCAAUGGACGAGAGUCUGAACCAGCCAAGUAGCGUGAAGGAUGACUGCCCUAUGGGUUGUAAACUUCUUUUAUAAAGGAAUAAAACGAGGCACGUGUGCCUUUUUGCAUGUACUUUAUGAAUAAGGAUCGGCUAACUCCGUGCGAGCAGCCGCGGUAAUACGGAGGAUCCGAGCGUUAUCCGGAUGUAUGGGGUUUAAAGGGAGCGUAGAUGGGUUGUUAAGUCAGUUGUGAAAGUUUGCGGCUCAACCGGAAAAUUGCAAUUGAUACUGGGAGUCUUGAGUACAGGUGAGGCAGGGGGAAUUCGUGGGGUAGCGGUGAAAUGCGUAGAUAUGACGAAGAACCCGGAGUGCGAAGGCAGCUUACUAAACUGUGACUGA